GGAGGGCGCAAGCGUUGUUCGGAAUCAUUGGGCGUAAAGCGCGUGUAGGCGGCUUGGCAAGUCGGGUGUGAAAGCCCGGGGCUCAACCCCGGAAUUGCACUCGAUACUGCCUCGCUAGAGUCCCGGAGAGGGUGGCGGAAUUCCCGGUGUAGAGGUGAAAUUCGUAGAUAUCGGGAGGAACACCAGCGGCGAAGGCGGCCACCUGGACGGUGACUGACGCUGAGACGCGAAAGCGUGGGGAGCAAACAGGAUUAGAUACCCUGGUAGUCCACGCCGUAAACGUUGGGUGCUAGGCGCUGCGGGUAUUGACCCCCCCUGCAGUGCCGACGUUAACGCAUUAAGCACCCCGCCUGGGGAGUACGGUCGCAAGAUUA
RNAcentral lists this ribosomal RNA (374 nucleotides) under uncultured organism. Its description in RNAcentral is "partial 16S ribosomal RNA". It matches the Rfam family "Bacterial small subunit ribosomal RNA", at positions 527 to 896 of the family's 1533-position model. The record is from RNAcentral.